This 402-nucleotide ribosomal RNA is filed under the name uncultured Actinomycetes bacterium. RNAcentral's name for it is "bacterial SSU rRNA". It matches the Rfam family "Bacterial small subunit ribosomal RNA", at positions 1155 to 1533 of the family's 1533-position model. The record is from RNAcentral. Lineage: Bacteria; Bacillati; Actinomycetota; Actinomycetes.
GGGUCAACUCGGAGGAAGGUGGGGAUGACGUCAAGUCAUCAUGCCCCUUAUGUCCAGGGCUUCAAGCAUGCUACAAUGGCCGGUACAAAGGGCUGCGAUACCGCAAGGUGGAGCGAAUCCCAAAAAGCCGGUCUCAGUUCGGAUUGGGGUCUGCAACUCGACCCCAUGAAGUCGGAGUCGCUAGUAAUCGCAGAUCAGCAACGCUGCGGUGGAUACGUUCCCGGGCCUUGUACACACCGCCCGUCACGUCACGAAAGUCGGCAACACCCGAAGCCGGUGGCCCAACCCUUGUGGAGGGAGCCGUCGAAGGUGGGGCACCGCUUGAGAUGCAGUUGUAACCAGGUAGCCCUGCCUUAGUCGUGAGGCCAGGUCCCCUCCUAAUCUAGAGCAUCGCGAGUCGCA